GGGUUUCAACUUUCUCCUGAACCUUGAGGAUCUUUGUUGCCAUCCAGAUUCUGAGUAAUUUCAGCCAUUUCAUUCUGGUCAAGAAUCAUUGCUGGGGAGCUAGUGUGAUCACUUGGGAUUAAGAAGACAUUCUGACUUUUAGAGUUGCCAGAGUUCUUGUACUGGUUACUUCUCAUCAGAGUGGAUUCAUGUUCCAUUAACUGUGGUGAAAUUUGAGUAUAGUCAGUUGGCUUUGUUUCUGGAUGUUUUCAGAGGGCCACAGCUUUGUGCAGGGUCUUUGUGGCUGAGUUCUUGUCCUUGGUUUGACCCUUCCUGGUGAAGACCAGGAUGGAUGGGGGUCUCAUGGGG
Molecule: long non-coding RNA, 348 nt
Filed under: Pan troglodytes (chimpanzee)
Lineage: Eukaryota; Metazoa; Chordata; Mammalia; Primates; Hominidae
Description: long non-coding RNA NONPTRT000374
Source: RNAcentral